GCAAAGUGGAAAAUACAAGAGAUGCAAGGAGAUAUUAAAAGCCGUAAAGGAAAAUCAAUAUAAGAAAAAAGAUCGUGGUCAUGAGCUUCGCAGCGGGGACGGAAGUUCCGUCCACUCAACUCUGAUACGGAUUCCGCUGGGAUGAGGAUAUGUUAUUUAUGAAACAUACCAGAGGCAUGCGGGUGUUACUUGUAAGUACCCAAUGAUAUGAUUUAGAGUGAUCUGAUCGUGUGUGUGUGUGUGUGUGUGUGUGUGUGUGUGGAAUUACCCCAGAGAGCAUAUAUAUGUCACUAGAACAAUUACAAAA
This 307-nucleotide small RNA is filed under the name Histoplasma ohiense. Its description in RNAcentral is "hypothetical lncRNA". Lineage: Eukaryota; Fungi; Ascomycota; Eurotiomycetes; Onygenales; Ajellomycetaceae. The record is from RNAcentral.